Molecule: ribosomal RNA, 81 nt
Filed under: Danio rerio (zebrafish)
Lineage: Eukaryota; Metazoa; Chordata; Actinopteri; Cypriniformes; Danionidae
Source: RNAcentral
UCAAAUAGCAACAACAGCAGGGCUGAGCCUGGUCAGUACCUGGAUGGGAGACCACAUGGGAACACUAGGUUGCUGUUGGAA